CCUAUAAAAUUAUUUGUAGAGAAGUGUGAAUAAUACUGGGUGUAUCACAGAGGCCUGCUGGGCUCCACAAACCCUGUGUGAGGGGAAAAACAGAAUGCUCAGUGCAGGAUCUGUGCCGCUACUGUGGUGCUUCAGAGGGAGCCAGAAAGCAAAACAGCACAGGUACUUUGGAUCCAACUCUGACUUCUCCAGAGCAUCUCACCACCUACACAAGAGUGGAAAAGCACCAGUUUCCUCAUCGUAAGGUAUCUGCUGUCUGUAAAGCUUUAUUUCAGAUAGGAACACGUACCCUUGGAGAAAUUUCAGAGGGCAAGUUCCAGCUGUGGCAGUGCCCAAUCAAAAGGCUGCAAGAGGUUUUUUUUCUUCCCCCAGCACUGGCCUGGAGAAGGAGACAAGUGUCCCGAGGAUACAAGGUGCCCCAACUUCAUGGACGCUGGCAGAUACCUUGGCUGUGUGUUUUGGAGUAUUUACUAUUGGUGGGUUGGUAAAUACAAUGACAGGGGUGUUCAAUCCCACGGACGCCGGCAGAUCCCUGGCUGUGUUUUGGGGUAUUUACCGUCAGCUGGAGAGCCGGGCUCCAGC
This 582-nucleotide long non-coding RNA is filed under the name Parus major (Great Tit). RNAcentral describes it as "lncRNA (ENSPMJG00000008579.1)". The record is from RNAcentral. Lineage: Eukaryota; Metazoa; Chordata; Aves; Passeriformes; Paridae.